CUGCAGCCAAUUAAACCGACUGUGCUGCCCACCAUAACGCCCCGUGUGCAAUGGCCGCAAACAGCAGCCUUCUGGGUAGUAUAUGCAGCCUGUUGCUUGCACAGGCUCCCCUAAUGGGCCUUGGAGACAACC
Small nucleolar RNA from Erinaceus europaeus (western European hedgehog), 132 nucleotides. Its record names the gene SNORA70. It matches the Rfam family "Small nucleolar RNA SNORA70". From Rfam's summary of the family: snoRNA U70 seems to be exclusive to mammals and is a member of the H/ACA class of snoRNA which contain H (ANANNA) and ACA box motifs. H/ACA box snoRNAs are involved in the conversion of uridines to pseudouridines (5-ribosyluracil) a constituent of structural RNAs (transfer, ribosomal, small nuclear, and small nucleolar). The record is from Ensembl. Lineage: Eukaryota; Metazoa; Chordata; Mammalia; Eulipotyphla; Erinaceidae.